Molecule: ribosomal RNA, 497 nt
Filed under: uncultured bacterium
Lineage: Bacteria
Description: partial 16S ribosomal RNA
Rfam family: Bacterial small subunit ribosomal RNA
Source: RNAcentral
GAUGAACGCUGGCGGCAUGCCUAAUACAUGCAAGUCGAGCGAACCGACGGGGAGCUUGCUCCUCUGACGUUAUCGGCGGACGGGUGAUUAACACGUGGAUAGCCUACCUAUCAGACUGGGAUAACUUCGGGAAACCGUGUCUAAUACCGGAUGAUAUAUUGCCCCUCAUGGUUCAAUAGUUGAAGACGGUUUUUCUUUCGCUUAUAGCUUACUCCGCGCCGCAUUAGCUAGUGGGUAAGGUAACGGCUUAGCAAGGCAGCGAUGCGGAGCCGACCUGAGAGGGAGAUCGGAUAGACUGGAACUGAGACACGGUACAGACUCCUACGGGAGGAAGCAGUCGGGAAUCUUACGCGAUGGGCGAAAGCCUGACGGAGCAAAGUCGCGUGAGUGCUGAAGGUGUUCGGCUCGUAAAACUAUGUUAGUAGGGAAGAACAAAUGUGCAAGUAACUAUGAACGUAUUGACGGUACCUAAUCAGAAAGCUACGGCUAACUCAGUG